This 196-nucleotide small RNA is filed under the name Pseudomonas citronellolis. RNAcentral's name for it is "PhrS". It matches the Rfam family "PhrS". The record is from RNAcentral. Lineage: Bacteria; Pseudomonadati; Pseudomonadota; Gammaproteobacteria; Pseudomonadales; Pseudomonadaceae.
ACAGGGAAUCAGGAGGCCAGCAUCAUGUUCAUCGACGAAGUGGUUCUCGCCGGCAUUGUCACCGUUGGUCUGAUGGUCCUGUUCUGCGGUGGAGUCGGAUAUUUCAUCUGGAAGGACAGCCACAAGAAGGGCUGAUCGCCUUCCCGAUCACAGAGCACGCAAGGCACUUGGGGCGACUUCGGUCGCCCGUUUUUUU